Molecule: ribosomal RNA, 497 nt
Filed under: uncultured bacterium
Lineage: Bacteria
Description: partial 16S ribosomal RNA
Rfam family: Bacterial small subunit ribosomal RNA
Source: RNAcentral
GAUGAACGCUGGCGGCGUGCCUAAUACAUGCAAGUCGAGCGAACGGACGAGAAGCUUGCUUCUCUGAUGUUAGCGGCGGACGGGUGAGUAACACGUGGAUAACCGACCUAUAAGACUGGGAUAACUUCGGGAAACCGGAGCUAAUACCGGCUAAUAUUUUGAACCGCAUGGUUCAAAAGUGAAAGACGGUCUUGCUGUCACUUAUCGAUGGAUCCGCGCUGCAUUAGCUAGUUGGUAAGGUAACGGCUUACCAAGGCAACGAUGCAUAGCCGACCUGAGAGGGUGAUCGGCCACACUGGAACUGAGACACGGUCCAGACUCCUACGGGAGGCAGCAGUAGGGAAUCUUCCGCAAUGGGCGAAAGCCUGACGGAGCAACGCCGCGUGAGUGAUGAAGGUCUUCGGAUCGUAAAACUCUGUUAUUAGGGAAGAACAUAUGUGUAAGUAACUGUGCACAUCUUGACGGUACCUAAUCAGAAAGCCACGGCUAACUACGUG